GUAGGGAAUAUUGGGCAAUGGAUGCAAGUCUGACCCAGCCAUCCCGCGUGCCGGAAGAAGGCCCUCAGGGUUGUAAACGGCUUUUGACGGUGAAGAAUCGACAGGAUGCGUCCUGUUUUGACGGUAGCCGUUGAAUAAGCACCGGCUAACUCCGUGCCCGCAGCCGCGGUAAUACGGAGGGUGCGAGCGUUGUCCGGAUUUAUUGGGUUUAAAGGGUGCGUAGGCUGGAAGGUCAGUCAGCGGUGAAAAGCUGUCGCUUAACGAUAGUCUUGCCGCAGAUACUUCCUUUCUUGGAUGAGGAGGAGGCCACUGGAACGGAUGGUGUAGCGGUGAAAUGCAUAGAUAUCAUCCAGAACACCAAUUGCGAAGGCAGGUGGCUGUACCUUAAUCGACGCUGAUGCACGAAAGCAUGGGGAGCAAACAGGAUUAGAUACCCUGGUAGUCC
Molecule: ribosomal RNA, 445 nt
Filed under: uncultured bacterium
Lineage: Bacteria
Description: partial 16S ribosomal RNA
Rfam family: Bacterial small subunit ribosomal RNA
Source: RNAcentral